GUGAACGCUGGCGGUAGGCCUAACACAUGCAAGUCGAACGGCAGCACCGUAAGAGCUUGCUCUUACGGGUGGCGAGUGGCGGACGGGUGAGGAAUACAUCGGAAUCUACUUUUUCGUGGGGGAUAACGUAGGGAAAUUUACGCUAAUACCGCAUACGACCUACGGGUGAAAGCAGGGGAUCUUCGGACCUUGCGCGAUUGAAUGAGCCGAUGUCGGAUUAGCUAGUUGGCGGGGUAAAGGCCCACCAAGGCGACGAUCCGUAGCUGGUCUGAGAGGAUGAUCAGCCACACUGGAACUGAGACACGGUCCAGACUCCUACGGGAGGCAGCAGUGGGGAAUAUUGGACAAUGGGCGCAAGCCUGAUCCAGCCAUACCGCGUGGGUGAAGAAGGCCUUCGGGUUGUAAAGCCCUUUUGUUGGGAAAGAAAAGCAGCAGGUUAAUACCCCGCUGUUCUGACGGUACCCAAAGAAUAAGCACCGGCUAACUUCGUG
Molecule: ribosomal RNA, 491 nt
Filed under: uncultured bacterium
Lineage: Bacteria
Description: partial 16S ribosomal RNA
Rfam family: Bacterial small subunit ribosomal RNA
Source: RNAcentral